RNAcentral lists this ribosomal RNA (242 nucleotides) under uncultured Actinomycetales bacterium. RNAcentral's name for it is "partial 16S ribosomal RNA". It matches the Rfam family "Bacterial small subunit ribosomal RNA", at positions 89 to 334 of the family's 1533-position model. The record is from RNAcentral. Lineage: Bacteria; Bacillati; Actinomycetota; Actinomycetes; Actinomycetales.
ACUCGAGUGGCGAACGGGUGAGUAACACGUGAGUGAUCUGCCCUGCACUUCGGGAUAAGCUUGGGAAACUGGGUCUAAUACCGGAUAGGAGCCAUCUUUAGUGUGGUGGUUGGAAAGUUUUUUCGGUGUAGGAUGAGCUCGCGGCCUAUCAGCUUGUUGGUGGGGUAAUGGCCUACCAAGGCGGCGACGGGUAGCCGGCCUGAGAGGGUGUACGGCCACAUUGGGACUGAGAUACGGCCCAG